UACGUAGGGGGCAAGCGUUGUCCGGAAUUAUUGGGCGUAAAGCGCGUGUAGGCGGCUCGAUAAGUCUGCUGUGAAAGUCCAGGGCUCAACCCUGGAAUGCCGGUGGAUACUGUCGAGCUCGAGUCCGGAAGAGGCGAGUGGAAUUCCUGGUGUAGCGGUGAAAUGCGCAGAUAUCAGGAGGAACACCAAUGGCGAAGGCAGCUCGCUGGGACGGUACUGACGCUGAGACGCGAAAGCGUGGGGAGCAAACAGG
Molecule: ribosomal RNA, 253 nt
Filed under: uncultured bacterium
Lineage: Bacteria
Description: partial 16S ribosomal RNA
Rfam family: Bacterial small subunit ribosomal RNA
Source: RNAcentral